This 253-nucleotide ribosomal RNA is filed under the name uncultured bacterium. RNAcentral's name for it is "partial 16S ribosomal RNA". It matches the Rfam family "Bacterial small subunit ribosomal RNA", at positions 524 to 776 of the family's 1533-position model. The record is from RNAcentral.
UACGGAAGAGGCAAGCGUUAUCCGGAAUUAUUGGGCGUAAAGCGGCCGUAGGUGGUUCACCAAGUCUGCUGUCAAAGGGUGGGGCUUAACCUCAUAAAGGCAGUGGAAACUGGUGAGCUAGAGUGCGGUAGGGGUAAGGGGAAUUGCCAGUGUAGCGGUGAAAUGCGUAGAGAUUGGGAAGAACAUCGGUGGCGAAAGCGCCUUACUGGGCCUGCACUGACACUGAGGGAAGAAAGCUAGGGGAGCGAAAGGG